RNAcentral lists this ribosomal RNA (644 nucleotides) under Coelorinchus caribbaeus (blackfin grenadier). Its description in RNAcentral is "partial 12S ribosomal RNA". It matches the Rfam family "Bacterial small subunit ribosomal RNA", at positions 613 to 1510 of the family's 1533-position model. The record is from RNAcentral. Lineage: Eukaryota; Metazoa; Chordata; Actinopteri; Gadiformes; Macrouridae.
CGGCGUAAAGCGUGGUUAAACCACUAACCUAAUAGGGCCAAAUAGUUUCUAAGCAGUCAAAUACUAUCGAAAUCAUAAAGCACAUCUACGAAAGUAACCCUAAUACUUCUGACCCCACGAAAGCCAUAGCACAAACUGGGAUUAGAUACCCCACUAUGUAUGGCCGUUAAAACUGAUGGUACUUCACUCGAACCAUCCGCCCGGGAACUACGAGCCCCAGCUUAAAACCCAAAGGACCUGGCGGUGCUUUAGACCCCCCUAGAGGAGCCUGUUCUGUAACUGACAACCCCCGUUAAACCUCACCACCCCUUGUUAAAUCCGCCUAUAUACCACCGUCGUAAGCUUACCCUACUGAAGGCCAAAAAGUAAGCCCCAAUAGUAAUACUAAAGACGUCAGGUCGAGGUGUAGCGUAUGGGCUGGGAAGAAAUGGGCUACAUUCCCUAAUAGAGGGAAUACGAAUGAUAGAUUGAAAAAUCUAUACUGAAGGAGGAUUUAGUAGUAAGAAAGGAAUAGAGCGCCCUACUGAAAAUGGCCCUAAAGCGCGUACAGACCGCCCGUCACUCUCCCCGAAACAAUCUCUUUAUUCAUAAUAACCCAAAUAAAACAAGGGGAGGUAAGUCGUAACAUGGUAAGUGUACCGGAA